RNAcentral lists this unclassified non-coding RNA (337 nucleotides) under soil metagenome. Its description in RNAcentral is "partial contains 5.8S ribosomal RNA, internal transcribed spacer 2, and large subunit ribosomal RNA". The stretch from base 1 to 120 matches the Rfam family "5.8S ribosomal RNA", at positions 35 to 154 of the family's 154-position model. The record is from RNAcentral.
GAUGAAGAACGCAGCGAAAUGCGAUAACUAAUGUGAAUUGCAGAAUUCAGUGAAUCAUCGAGUCUUUGAACGCACAUUGCGCCCCCUGGUAUUCCGGGGGGCAUGCCUGUCCGAGCGUCAUUGCUGCCCUCAAGCACGGCUUGUGUGUUGGGCUCCGUCCCCCCGGGGACGGGCCCGAAAGGCAGCGGCGGCACCGAGUCCGGUCCUCGAGCGUAUGGGGCUUUGUCACCCGCUCUAGGCCCGGCCGGCGCCAGCCGACAACCCAUCAUCCUUUUCAGGUUGACCUCGGAUCAGGUAGGGAUACCCGCUGAACUUAAGCAUAUCAAUAAGCGGAGGA